GGAGAGAUGUCCGAGUGGCUUAUGGUGACGGUCUUGAAAACCGUUGUGCGUUAGUAGCGCACCUAGGGUUCAAAUCCCUAUCUCUCCG
RNAcentral lists this transfer RNA (88 nucleotides) under Christensenella hongkongensis. RNAcentral describes it as "Catabacter hongkongensis tRNA". It matches the Rfam family "tRNA". From Rfam's summary of the family: Transfer RNA (tRNA) molecules are approximately 80 nucleotides in length. Lineage: Bacteria; Bacillati; Bacillota; Clostridia; Christensenellales; Christensenellaceae. The record is from Rfam by way of RNAcentral.